Oncorhynchus gorbuscha (pink salmon) is the source of this 860-nucleotide long non-coding RNA. RefSeq lists it as uncharacterized. The transcript has 3 exons. Lineage: Eukaryota; Metazoa; Chordata; Actinopteri; Salmoniformes; Salmonidae. The record is from RefSeq and is a predicted model, not a curated record.
AAACAACUUGUUUAUCUUUCAUUUGAGCUAUUUUACUUGUUAAUGUGUGGAGGUUAAAUAUUUUUAGGAAUAUUUCUUGCGUUCCCUGCGCCACAUUCCAGCUGGGGGGGUGGGGGCGCGUUCCCAAAUGGGAACUGGUGUCUCUAACAGGUUUUUAAACCUUUAUAACUUUGCAUCAAUCACACAUGACUUGUUUGAAGCAUAUCUCCAAAGGGAUAAGAUUUGUGAAUGAUUUAUUACAUGUAAUAAUAUUACAUAUAAGCCUACAUGUAGCCAACUUUAUUUAUGAACAAAAUCGGUCUUUGCUCCCAUAGACACACAGAAGCAUGGUAUUUUUGAGGUGAAUGGAAACCUUCAGGUGCUCUAUAUGAAGGAGAAACCCCUUCCCUCUGAGACCAAAUCUAGAAGAGUAUGUCCUUGUUUCUACAUGUUUUCCAAGAAAAGCCUUUAUUGGAGGAUGCUUUUCUUGAUGGAAAGAAGAAAGCCUGUGUAUAUUCAUCAGAUUUCUGUCCGUUUUGAUGUGGGAAACCUUGCUUCCUAUGUUUAACGUGACUGUUACUUCAGAGAAGAUCUUCAAGGUGUGGGAAACCUUCCUUCCUAUGUUUAAUGUGUCUGGUACUUCAGAGAAGACCUUCAAGAUGUGAAGUCUUACACAAUAUAGCUUACUCAGGUGCAUUUGUGAGGUUGACAAUGUGAAGAAAACAGCAACUUUGACUAUUACAAAAACAUAUCAAGAGUAAAUGUAUUCAAAUGAAUUAAAACAUGUCUGUUGAUACUGUGGCUCACUGUGACCCGAAUUACAAGCAUGACUUAGUUGGCUUAUGUCAAUACAGUGAACAAAGAUAACAUUCCUGAUUAAA